UACGGAGGGUGCAAGCGUUAUCCGGAUUCACUGGGUUUAAAGGGUGCGUAGGUGGAGUGGUAAGUCAGUGGUGAAAUCUCCAAGCUUAACUUGGAAACUGCCGUUGAUACUAUCAUUCUUGAAUAUCGUGGAGGUAAGCGGAAUAUGUCAUGUAGCGGUGAAAUGCUUAGAUAUGACAUAGAACACCAAUUGCGAAGGCAGCUCACUACACGAAUAUUGACACUGAGGCACGAAAGCGUGGGGAUCAAACAGG
This 253-nucleotide ribosomal RNA is filed under the name uncultured bacterium. Its description in RNAcentral is "partial 16S ribosomal RNA". It matches the Rfam family "Bacterial small subunit ribosomal RNA", at positions 524 to 776 of the family's 1533-position model. The record is from RNAcentral.